Long non-coding RNA from Eubalaena glacialis (North Atlantic right whale), 998 nucleotides. RefSeq lists it as uncharacterized. The record is from RefSeq and is a predicted model, not a curated record. NCBI's taxonomy places the organism in Eukaryota, Metazoa, Chordata, Mammalia, Artiodactyla, Balaenidae. The transcript is spliced from 3 exons.
GGCCAGGGUGGCCUAACCUUGUCCUUUCACUUUCAUUAUAUGCUUAUCCGGCCUUCAAGCAGCUGUUGUUGCUGUAUCAAUGGCUGACAGUCAUCACUGCAACCAAGGAAAAUGUCAGCUGGGGGCUCAGCUCUGUGCAGCUUCACUCUGGGACCCAGGCUGCCCGGAGAAUCCCCAUCUGGAGCAUGGCCAGUCUCUGUGGGAGAGGGAGAAGAUAGAGUGGUGAACUGCGCACUGGCUUAUGCCCGAAAGUGACACACGACCCUUCUCCUCACGUGGCACUGGACAAAGUAACAUACCUGUUUUGGCUCUAACCUGUGCUGGACCACCUUCCUACACGGAUACUCCUCUCACCCCACCUGGGCUCUGAAACAUCCUCUUCAACUGCCUCGAUGCCAACAUCUCGCACUAGGCUAUGCCUUUGCAAGAACACUCUCCUUACCCCACGUGGGCUCUGAAACCUCCUGCCAGGCUGCCCCUCCCACCCUCAAUCCUCAGCCCACCUGGGCCACCCUGCACUAAGCCAUCCUCUCAGCCUGCUUUGGCUCUGACACUGAGCUGAGCCGACCCUCUGCAAGGGUGGCUCUCUUGAGCUGCUUGGGCCCAACACUGGCACCAGGUGUCCCACUCGUGGGAUGCCCUCCUCACCCCACUUUUGCGGUGUUCUAAUUCUUUAAAGAUUUCUAUUAUCUAUGUAUAUAGUAUCAGUUUUUCCUCAAACUAGAGGUCUGUGUAUGUAUUAUUGAUGAUCCAUCAGUAAUAAUGUGUUGUCAUUUCAAUGAUGAUCUAAAAAAGACUUACAUUAUAAAAUAUAAGCAUAUCUGGGAUGUUCGUUUUAUAACCACAUACUUCUAGUGUUGGUGCUUUGUGUUUAAAAUUGGGUUGGUACCGCGUGAUUGUUAAUGUGUCAAUAUUUAACUUUUAAAUUGGUAGUAGUUUUAGAUUGGCAUUCUUGGCAUCAAAAUACAAAAACCAUCUUGAUUUCUGUUCAGUAAAAA